This 235-nucleotide long non-coding RNA is filed under the name Gallus gallus (chicken). The record is from RNAcentral. Lineage: Eukaryota; Metazoa; Chordata; Aves; Galliformes; Phasianidae.
GGCUUGUGAAGAGCUGGGUAAAAGAAAAGCUUACGCAGGCAUUACCUGCAGGGGAAGGGAAAUCCUCACUAAGUGCUUUAAGCCUGCCCGCAACGCGCUGAGGUAAGGAACAACAACUGACUUGAACAGCUUUUUGCAGCCUACAACCUCGCAGAGCACCCCUCCUCCAGGAGCAGCAAUGCGACCACUUGCAGUUGUGUUCCUAACGUCAGCAAGGGAUAGAGGAUGAGGAGGG